RNAcentral lists this ribosomal RNA (440 nucleotides) under uncultured bacterium. RNAcentral describes it as "partial 16S ribosomal RNA". It matches the Rfam family "Bacterial small subunit ribosomal RNA", at positions 338 to 795 of the family's 1533-position model. The record is from RNAcentral.
CCUACGGGUGGCUGCAGUGGGGAAUAUUGCACAAUGGGGGAAACCCUGAUGCAGCGACGCCGCGUGAGUGAAGAAGGAAUUCGGGAUGGAAAGCUCUAUCAGCAGGGAAGAAAAGGACGGUACCUGAGUAAGAAGCCCCGGCGAACUACGGGCCAGCAGCCGCGGUAAUACGUAGGGGGCAAGCGUUAUCCGGAUUUACUGGGUGUAAAGGGAGCGUAGACGGCCGGGCACGUCUGGAGUGAAGGGCGGGGGCUCAACCCCCGGACUGCUCGGGAAACUGUCCGGCUGGAGUGCAGGAGAGGUCAGUGGCAUUCCUCGUGUAGCGGUGAUCUUCGUAGAUAUUAGGCGGCACCCCAGUUGCGAAGGCGGCUUACUGGACUGUACCUGCCGUUGCGGCUCGACAGCGUGGGGAGCAAACAGGAUUCGCUACCCGUGUAGUC